RNAcentral lists this ribosomal RNA (1014 nucleotides) under Rhizophagus intraradices. RNAcentral describes it as "eukaryotic LSU rRNA". It matches the Rfam family "Eukaryotic large subunit ribosomal RNA", at positions 1 to 868 of the family's 3401-position model. Lineage: Eukaryota; Fungi; Glomeromycota; Glomeromycetes; Glomerales; Glomeraceae. The record is from RNAcentral.
AUUUGACCUCAAAUCAGGUAGGAGUACCCGCUGAACUUAAGCAUAUCAAUAAGCGGAGGAAAAGAAAAUAACAAUGAUUCCCCUAGUAACUGCGAGUGAAGAGGGACAAGCUCAAAUUUUAAAUCUGUUAGGUUUACCUAACCGAGUUGUAAUUUGAAGAGGCGUUUUCUGUGUUUUUGAUCAGCCCAAGUCCUUUGGGAUAGGGCAUCAUGGAGGGUGAGAAUCCCGUUCGGUUGGUCAGAUUCGCUUUACGAUACGUCAUCUAAGAGUCAAGUUGUUUGGGAUUGCAGCUUAAAAUGGGAGGUAAAUUUCUCCUAAGGCUAAAUAACGGCGAGAGACCGAUAGCGAACAAGUACCGUGAGGGAAAGAUGAAAAGAACUUUGAAAAGAGAGUUAAACAGUACGUGAAAUUGUUGAAAGGGAAACGAUUGAAGCCAGUCGUACCUUCGGGUAAUCAGCCUUUCGGGUGCGAUUCUGUGGAGCGUGGGGAGUUAAACGCCUUCAUGCCUGCAUAUUCGUGCACUUUGGGUGUACUUGCCCGUGUGGUAGGUUAACAUCAAUUUCGGAUGUCAUAAAAUGGCUGGAGGAAUGUAGCUUCGGUCUCGUACUGAAGUGUUAUAGCCUUUGGUAGAUGUGAUGACCGGGAUUGAGGAUUGCAACGAAUACCUUUUGGGCUAUCCGUCUGAUCUCUGAAAGUUGCUCUGGUGCCGAAAGCUUGCUUACGGUUAUCAAAGUUGACGUUCAAAAGGUUAGAACGGGUUAAAUUCGUUAAGGAUGUUGACGUAAUGGCUUUAAACGACCCGUCUUGAAACACGGACCAAGGAGUCUAACAUAUAUGCGAGUGUUUGGGUGAUCAAACCCUUACGCGUAAUGAAAGUAAUUUAGGUGGGAACAUUUUUGUGCACCAUCGACCGAUCAGGAUAUUUUUUGAUAGAUUUGAGUAAGAGCAUAUCUGCUAGGACCCGAAAGAUGGUGAACUAUGCCUGAAUAGGGUGAAGCCAGAGGAAACUCUGGU